Puma concolor (puma) is the source of this 258-nucleotide non-coding RNA. The record is from RefSeq and is a predicted model, not a curated record. Lineage: Eukaryota; Metazoa; Chordata; Mammalia; Carnivora; Felidae.
UCCUUGCCAGCAUCUAUAGUCUCCUGAUUUGUUCAUUUUGGCCACUCUGACUGGCGUGAGGUGGAUGCUGAUAUAUCAAUUAAGGGUGAAUCUUUGAAGUGAGUCAGCUGCAGCUUCGCUCUCCUAUAAUUGAAGAGAGAGAGAAUUACAGAGAAAGAGGCCAGGCACUCUUUCCUCCAGACAAAGCUGUGGUUUCAAUUUCUCAUUCCCUACCGAGAGACGGGGAGAAUACAUUGAUACUGCAUUUCAAAUUGGCUA